This 468-nucleotide ribosomal RNA is filed under the name uncultured bacterium. RNAcentral's name for it is "partial 16S ribosomal RNA". It matches the Rfam family "Bacterial small subunit ribosomal RNA", at positions 28 to 507 of the family's 1533-position model. The record is from RNAcentral.
GACGAACGCUGGCGGCGUGCUUAACACAUGCAAGUCGAACGGAAAGGCCCUGCUUUUGUGGGGUGCUCGAGUGGCGAGCGGGUGAGUAACACGUGAGUAACCUGCGCUUGACUUUGGGAUAACUUCAGGAAACUGGGGCUAAUACCGGAUAGGAGCUCCUGCUGCAUGGUGGGGGUUGGAAAGUUUCGGCGGUUGGGGAUGGACUCGCGGCUUAUCAGCUGGUUGGUGGGGUAGUGGCUUACCAAGGCUUUGACGGGUAGCCGGCAUGAGAGGGUGACCGGCCACAUUGGGACUGAGAGACGGCCCAGACUCAUACGGGAGGCAGCAGUGGGGAAUAUGGCACAAUGGGCGGAAGCCUGAUGAAGAAACGCCGCGUGCGUGAAGACGGCCUUCGGGUUGUAAACCGCUUUCGCCUGUGACGAAGCGUGAGUGACGGUAAUGGGUAAAGAAGCACCGGCUAACUACGUG